Molecule: non-coding RNA, 72 nt
Organism: Bos taurus (domestic cattle)
Lineage: Eukaryota; Metazoa; Chordata; Mammalia; Artiodactyla; Bovidae
Source: Rfam
UUCCUGGUGGCUUAGAGGUUAAAGCGUCUGCCUGCAAUGAAGGAGACCUGGGUUCGAUCCCUGGGUUGGAAA